AAAGGCUCUGUAUGCUCAGCUUCGCACCUCAAUCUCCCCAGAUGCUUCUGAAGGGGCCAACCUUCACCUUUCCUCUGUGUUCACCUCAUUUG
Molecule: non-coding RNA, 92 nt
Filed under: Paramoeba aestuarina
Lineage: Eukaryota; Discosea; Flabellinia; Dactylopodida; Paramoebidae
Source: RNAcentral